ACUCAACAACUGCAUCCAACCUCAAGAGAAGCCCCUGAGAGCACAGUUUCUCACCAUGGACUUGACCUGGAAGAUCCUCCUCUUGGUGACAGCAGCCACAGGUGCCCACUCCCAGGUGCAGCUGGUGCAGUCUGGGGCUGAGAUUAAGCAGCCUGGGGCCUCAGUGAAGCUCUCCUGCAAGGCUUCUGGAUAUACCUUCACUAGCUACUACAUGCACUGGGUGAGACAGGCCCCUGGACAAGGCCUUGAGUGGAUAGGACUGAUCUCCCCUUACAAUGGUAACAAAGGCUACGCACAGAACUUCCAGGGCAGAGUCACCAUAACUACGGACACGUCCACGAGCACAGGCUACAUGGAGCUGAGCAGCCUGAGAUCUGAGGACACAGCCGUGUAUUACUGUACGAGAGACACAGUGUGAAAACCACAUCCUGAGAGUGUCAGAAACCCCAGGAAGGAGGCAGCUGUGCUGGCAUGGAGGAGAUGACAAAGAUUAUUAGAUUGAAGACUUUCUUAGAAAAUGACAUUAAGACAUUAAAGAAAAUGACCAAUAUCAAUGUGUAUUUGAGAAAUUUCAGUUAUUUGAGAUACUUAUCAUACAAAAUUUAUUCUGUAAGUAAAUUUCAGGGAUUGGAGAAUGAAUAAAAUUAACAAAUCUGAUACAGAACUUCCUCUGAAUCAAUCUUUGCAAACAUCAAUUUCUGAAUCAAUGUUGGAAAUAUUUUGAAACACAAAAGCAAGUUCACAUUUUAACUCUUUUAUCUCUAGUUAAGAAAUGCCAAAAAAUCUCAUGUUGUGCAUGUAACAUUUUGAAUUCCCACCGACAGUGCAUGAAAUUUCUUGGUUUUCCACAUUCAUAUUGCCAUUUAUCAUCAUGAGAAUUGUGAGUUUUAACCAUGUUAAUAGGUGAGUAGUGAUACCUAAUUUUUAUUUAAGUGCACAUGUCCCUAAUAAAAAAUUGUAUUU
Macaca mulatta (Rhesus monkey) is the source of this 963-nucleotide non-coding RNA. The record is from the annotation of a RefSeq genome assembly. Lineage: Eukaryota; Metazoa; Chordata; Mammalia; Primates; Cercopithecidae.